UAGGGAAUCUUCGGCAAUGGGGGGAACCCUGACCGAGCAACGCCGCGUGAGUGAAGAAGGUUUUCGGAUCGUAAAGCUCUGUUGUUAAGGAAGAACGAGUGUGAGAAUGGAAAGUUCAUGCUGUGACGGUACUUAACCAGAAAGGGACGGCUAACUACGUGCCAGCAGCCGCGGUAAUACGUAGGUCCCGAGCGUUGUCCGGAUUUAUUGGGCGUAAAGCGAGCGCAGGCGGUUAGAAAAGUCUGAAGUGAAAGGCAGUGGCUCAACCAUUGUAGGCUUUGGAAACUGUUUAACUUGAGUGCAGAAGGGGAGAGUGGAAUUCCAUGUGUAGCGGUGAAAUGCGUAGAUAUAUGGAGGAACACCGGUGGCGAAAGCGGCUCUCUGGUCUGUAUCUGACGCUGCGGCUCGAAAGCGUGGGGAGCGAACAGG
Molecule: ribosomal RNA, 429 nt
Filed under: Verrucomicrobiota bacterium
Lineage: Bacteria; Pseudomonadati; Verrucomicrobiota
Description: Verrucomicrobia bacterium partial 16S ribosomal RNA
Rfam family: Bacterial small subunit ribosomal RNA
Source: RNAcentral